The sequence is a transfer RNA, 71 nucleotides long. It matches the Rfam family "tRNA". Rfam says of the family: Transfer RNA (tRNA) molecules are approximately 80 nucleotides in length. The record is from Rfam.
GCGGGCAUGGUUUAAUGGUAAAACCCUAGCCUUCCAAGCUAGAGACGCGGGUUCGAUUCCCGCUGCCCGCU